UGGGGAAUUUUGGACAAUGGGGGCAACCCUGAUCCAGCAAUGCCGCGUGUGUGAAGAAGGCCUUCGGGUUGUAAAGCACUUUUGUCCGGGAAGAAAUCCCCUGCCCUAAUACGGCGGGGGGAUGACGGUACCGGAAGAAUAAGCACCGGCUAACUACGUGCCAGCAGCCGCGGUAAUACGUAGGGUGCGAGCGUUAAUCGGAAUUACUGGGCGUAAAGCGUGCGCAGGCGGUGAUGUAAGACCGAUGUGAAAUCCCCGGGCUCAACCUGGGAACUGCAUUGGUGACUGCAUUGCUCGAGUAUGGCAGAGGGGGGUGGAAUUCCACGUGUAGCAGUGAAAUGCGUAGAGAUGUGGAGGAACACCGAUGGCGAAGGCAGCCCCCUGGGCCAAUACUGACGCUCAUGCACGAAAGCGUGGGGAGCAAACAGGAUUAGAUACCCUGGUAGUCCACGCCCUAAACGAUGUCAACUGGUUGUCGGGCCUUCAAUUGGCUUGGUAACGUAGCUAACGCGUGAAGUUGACCG
RNAcentral lists this ribosomal RNA (524 nucleotides) under uncultured bacterium. RNAcentral's name for it is "partial 16S ribosomal RNA". It matches the Rfam family "Bacterial small subunit ribosomal RNA", at positions 355 to 871 of the family's 1533-position model. The record is from RNAcentral.